AUGAAAUAAAAAGAGUAUUUUUAGCGCUGAUAAUUAUUUAUUAUUUAACCAUUUUUGCAAAAACGAAAGAUUUGAUAAGCGUUUUGUUGUUAAGCCGUUGCGUUUCUCGGUGGCUGUAGACCAGCUUUUGAAAAAAGGCACCGAGGUACCAACUAAAUGGCAGUAUUUUUUCGAAAGUCCAUAAAGUUUUGAGUAAACAGUUUACAUUUUCUCAACAU
Molecule: long non-coding RNA, 218 nt
Organism: Rhagoletis zephyria (snowberry fruit fly)
Lineage: Eukaryota; Metazoa; Arthropoda; Insecta; Diptera; Tephritidae
Source: RefSeq, a predicted model, not a curated record